This 316-nucleotide long non-coding RNA is filed under the name Salmo salar (Atlantic salmon). Its description in RNAcentral is "lncRNA (ENSSSAG00000104965.1)". Lineage: Eukaryota; Metazoa; Chordata; Actinopteri; Salmoniformes; Salmonidae. The record is from RNAcentral.
AGUAGCGAUGACCAGGGAUGUUCUCUGUUUAGUGAGUCCUCCAGAUCAGAGGUAGUAGGGAUGACCAGGGAUGUUCUCUGUUUAGUGAGUCCUCCAGAUCAGAGGCAGUAGGGAUGACCAGGGAUGUUCUCUGUUUAGUGAGUCCUCCAGAUCAGAGGCAGUAGGGAUGACCAGGGAUGUUCUCUGUUUAGUGAGUCCUCCAGAUCAGAGGUAGUAGGGAUGACCAGGGAUGUUCUCUGUUUAGUGAGUCCUCCAGAUCAGAGGCAGUAGGGAUGACCAGGGAUGUUCUCUGUUUAGUGAGUCCUCCAGAUCAGAG